AACGAACGCUGGCGGCAUGCCUAACACAUGCAAGUCGAACGAGACCUUCGGGUCUAGUGGCGCACGGGUGAGUAACGCGUGGGAACCUGCCCUUAGGUUCGGAAUAACUCCCCGAAAGGGGUGCUAAUACCGGAUAAUGUCUUCGGACCAAAGAUUUAUCGCCUAUGGAUGGGCCCGCGUUGGAUUAGCUAGUUGGUAGGGUAAAAGCCUACCAAGGCGACGAUCCAUAGCUGGUCUGAGAGGAUGAUCAGCCACACUGGGACUGAGACACGGCCCAGACUCCUACGGGAGGCAGCAGUGGGGAAUAUUGGACAAUGGGCGAAAGCCUGAUCCAGCAAUGCCGCGUGAGUGAUGAAGGCCUUAGGGUUGUAAAGCUCUUUUACCCGGGAUGAUAAUGACAGUACCGGGAGAAUAAGCUCCGGCUAACUCCGUG
This 433-nucleotide ribosomal RNA is filed under the name uncultured bacterium. RNAcentral describes it as "partial 16S ribosomal RNA". It matches the Rfam family "Bacterial small subunit ribosomal RNA", at positions 29 to 507 of the family's 1533-position model. The record is from RNAcentral.